GUCCACGCUGUAAACUAUGAACACUAGGUAUUGGAGGAUUUGACCCCUUCAGUGCCGUAGCUAACGCGUUAAGUGUUCCGCCUGGGAAGUACGGUCGCAAGACUAAAACUCAAAGGAAUUGACGGGGGCCCGCACAAGCGGUGGAUUAUGUGGUUUAAUUCGAAGCAACGCGCAGAACCUUACCAAGGCUUGAAAUCCUACGAAUCCCUUUUAAACGAGGGAGUGCUCUUCGGAGAAUGUAGUGACAGGCGCUGCAUGGCUGUCGU
RNAcentral lists this ribosomal RNA (266 nucleotides) under uncultured bacterium. RNAcentral describes it as "partial 16S ribosomal RNA". It matches the Rfam family "Bacterial small subunit ribosomal RNA", at positions 793 to 1055 of the family's 1533-position model. The record is from RNAcentral.